This is a long non-coding RNA of Homo sapiens (human), 2769 nucleotides long. RefSeq annotates it as fibroblast proliferation associated lncRNA. The transcript has 2 exons. The record is from RefSeq and is marked validated. Lineage: Eukaryota; Metazoa; Chordata; Mammalia; Primates; Hominidae.
ACAUCCGGGCUUCCGCGUAGUCCGGGCGCCCUGGCCUCUGCACCGUCCUAGAAACCUGUCUUACGUCGAGGAACCCGGGGGACAGAGGCGCGCCAGUGCACGCCGGGGCCAGGGACGAACGGCUCGCCAAUGCAAAGGAGGCCCCUCGGGGAGACGGCAGGCAGCAAAAGGCUUCCUUGGCCGGGGGUCUGGGCGUUUGGGGAGGGGAGGUGCUCAGAGAUAGGGCCGAGGAUGGAGCUCCCAGGUGGGUUGGAGGCGGGGGUGGCUGGGCUCGAGGACGCUGUUGGAGUCCGGGGUCUGGAAGAGGCGAUCCCCGGGAAAGCCAGCUUCAGAGCCGGGAAGGGUCGGCAGGGGACCUACUGCAAGAGCCCCCAGGUUGGGGUAGGGAGGGGGCCCAGACCUGGGCCGGGAGGGAUGCUGAAUCCCCCGACCUAGCUCUGGGGCUUUGCAAACCAGCAUCACUGCAGCAUUUUGUGGCUCAAGGAAUGGGGCAGGGCGGCCAGACCAGCUGUGGCUGGUGCGUGCGUGAGGCCCUGAGGGAUGCGGCCAAUGCUAUUUUGCUGUUUUGUACUUACUCAGUUUCAUUUUGGCUCUGUCGCCACUAGGCGAAAGAAAUCGAAGUGCUAACAUACCACGGGGAGCAAUGAUUAUUACUCAAUGUGGCCCCGCCCCAGCAGCGGGAGGUGGCAUCUGUUUGACCUUGGAGACUUGGACGGUAUUUAGGGAGAUUACAUGAAAAAAAGACUCACCCCACAAUGCUUGCAGUCAGCUACAAGCUGCCUUGUCCUUCAUACCUUUUAGCCUUUAUUUCCUGAGUCUAUCUUGUCUGUUUCUAAUGUAGUCUCCUGAUUUAGGGCAAGAGAAUAUUUCUCACUCUUGGUCUGCCCACUACCCACAAUCCUUGUCCGAGGAUUUACUCGGCAAACUUAGCAGGCAAAACCCCUUGUCAACUUAACACUAAAAAAUACCGUCUCUUGGAAGGCAGUCUGCUUUGAUAAACCUAAUGGAAUAAAAAGUGAGUUUGCUAUCUGGCUUUAAAGAACAUAACCCAGCUGGGCAUGGUGGCUCACACCUGUAAUCCCAACACUUUGGGAGACCGAGGCAGGAGGAUCGCUUAAGCCCAGGCGUUCAAGACCAGCCUGGGCAACAUAGUAUAGUAAAACCCAGUCUCUACAAAAAGAAUUUAAAAAUUAGCCAGGCCAGAUAGCCCAGCUACUUGGGACGCUGAAACAGGAUUGCUUUGAGUCCAGCAGGUGGAGGCUGCAGUGAGCUAUGACUGCACCACUGCACUCCAGCCUGGUCAACAGAGCGAGAUCCUGUCUCAAAACAAAACAAAAAAACUGACAACCAAUGAAACCUCAUCUCUAAAAUCUGGCUUCAGGUUAAGUGAGUAAAAAGAGGCUUUCUUGUGGCCAGGCACGGUGGCUUAUGCCUGGUAAUCCCAGCACUUUGGGAGGCCAAGGCGGGCGGAUCACGAGGUCAGGAGUUCAAGACCAGCCUGGCCAACAUAGUGAAACCCUGUUUCUACUAAAAAUACAAAAAAAUUAGCCAGGCAUGGUGGUGGAUGCCUGUAAUCCCAGCUACUCGGGAGGCUGAGGCAGGAGAAUCAACGUGAACCCAGGAGGCGGAGGUUGCAGUGAGCUGGUAUCACGCCAUUGCACUCCAACCCCGGGCAAUAGUGCGAGACUCCGUCUCAAAAAAAAAAAAGGCUUUCAUUUAUCUUCUCAGCUCCUACAAGCCAAUGAGUGGUAGGGUAAUUUGCCGACCACAGUGGGAAGAACUAAUUUAACACCAAGAUUGUGAUUCCCCUAGUGUAGAUCCAGUAUGAAAGAAGUGUCUCAGGCAUGCUUCUGGUUCCUGAGUUAACUCUAGUGAAUAAGGUGGGCUGUGCUGUCUCCCCACCUCCCCCAGGCAUAGGGGCAGAACAGCUGCAGACCACCAGGACCCAGUGGGCCAAGUGAGGAUGUGAGUCAAAGCCAGUGCUUAUUAAACCACCUAAUACUGUACUUUUCCCAUCCAGGGGAGGCAGGAGAGGAUUGAGGAGGCAAAUCCCCGAGCCCAGAAGACUCCAGUCAGAAAACAAGAUGGUCCCCAUGGGUAGUGGCCAAUCCCUCUGGCCUUUCAGAGCAGUGGCUUUGGCCUUGUCCGCUUAGGUAACAGGCUCUGCUGCUGGUAGUUGCUUAAGAGCACAGAGUAGCCGGGCGUGAGCCACUGCGCCUGGCCGAGAAUGUCCUUUUUGUAAGGAGAAAUAUGAACAUUGGGAGUAAAAUGCCAACAGUGACUUUCAAGGUUCCACAACCCAUAGAGGAAUUUAUCUGCCAUAUCAAGGAGUGGGUCUGUAGCCAAUCACUGUAACGUUCUUUUCAAUUUUUGUGUUUGGGAUUCAAGUGCCCCAAUACCACCUAACUACCCUUUAAAUGGAAUUAAAUAUUCUAAUUCAAGAUAUCUGUUUUGGGACCACCAAAUUUCAACUAUCUAUAUUUAAAAUCACAAGGCCAGAGUCACAUCAGUGCUCAAAGGCAGCAAAAAUCCUAUUUCAAGCUCAACCAAAUUAGAAGAAUGGAUGGCAGUAGUUACCUCUAAGAAUGGCAAUUAAUGGGUGAUCAGGUAAUGGGCAUGCUGGGAAGAGUUUCUGAUAAACCAGGGGUCUGCAAACUACUGGCCAGAGGGUAAAUAUGUCAAGCAUUGUGGGCUGUAUACGGCCGCCUCACACUUUUGUAACGUGUGUGCACUGCCAAUUCAAAAAAUAAAAACCAGCUGGGCACAGUG